This 430-nucleotide ribosomal RNA is filed under the name Pseudomonadota bacterium. RNAcentral's name for it is "Proteobacteria bacterium partial 16S ribosomal RNA". It matches the Rfam family "Bacterial small subunit ribosomal RNA", at positions 355 to 776 of the family's 1533-position model. The record is from RNAcentral. Lineage: Bacteria; Pseudomonadati; Pseudomonadota.
UGUGGUAUAUUGGACAAUGGGGGGAACCCUGAUCCAGCCAUGCCGCGUGUGUGAAGAAGGCCCUAUGGUUGUAAAGCACUUUAAGCGAGGAGGAGGGUACUGGUAUUAAUACUACCAGGUACUGGACGUUACUCGCAGAAUAAGCACCGGCUAACUCUGUGCCAGCAGCCGCGGUAAUACAGAGGGUGCGAGCGUUAAUCGGAUUUACUGGGCGUAAAGCGUGCGUAGGCGGCUAAUUGAGUCGGAUGUGAAAUCCCCUCGCUUAACUUAGGAAUUGCAUUGGAUACUGGUUAGCUAGAGUGUGGGGGAGGAGGGUAGAAUUGCAGGUGUAGCGGAGAAAUGCGUAGAGAUCUGGAGGAAUACCGAUGGCGAAGGCAGCCAUCUGGACUAACACUGACGCUGAAGUACGAAAGCAUGGGGAGCAAACAGG